GGCGCCUGUGACGUCCCGCCAAGACCUACGCGCACACUCCACCACAGCGCCGCUGCCGCGCCAUGCAGAGAACGUGCCACUCUUUUUAACCAGGUGAGCCCCAUGUUUCCAACCAACAAGACAAACGAAAGAGACUGCAGGCUACACAAGUACUACUAUUGGAUAUCUAGCAGGUGAUGAGCCCCAUGUUUCCAACCAACAAGACAAACGAAAGAGACUGCAGGCUACACAAGUACUACUAUUGGAUAUCUAGCAGAACACAAGAAGAGUCUCAAGGCUGCAGGAGUGCACUUAAACAGCGGGCGAUUUAUAAAUAUAGUUACGAAAAGUAGGUACUUAGUUCGAAAAGCUGCAGAACAAUGUUACGGGCUGUGACUCCAAUCUCAGGCGGUUGGUAAAGAACUUGUGCGGUGGUUUUCUAAUAGAAGGCAACUGAACUUUGGGACUAAAACUAAUUUAAAUAUUACACUUUUCUUAGUGAACAUGAUAAAAAUGACCUUGAUCCAGACAGCCUACGGACUGGGUCAGCUAGUAACUUCUUACCAAUCGCCUCAGUUAGGCCUCUCACUAAAGUCCAAGAAGCAGCGAGCAUGCAGGAGGGACCAAAAGUCAAUGAGUACAUUUUUCACUCGACGACUAUUUAAGGCACAUCACACACUACCUGAACCAGUACCUAAUAGUAAAAUGGCACCUGUCUUUUUGUAUAAUACCGGUUAUUACAUCUACCCGGGGCCCAGGGCACUCUUUGUACAGCAGUUUUCCGUUAUACUUAAUAUCUAAUAAUACAUAACCCUUCGUAUGCCUUUGUUAAACAUUUGCUACUGAUUUAAUAACCUACUGAUAUGACAAGGCAUACGAAAGGUUAAGAGGAAAUAGGACAACCGCUUCUUCAAACAAACGUAAUCCCCAUUUUGCUCUCAGGAUAUUGACAUUAUGGAAAAUUAUUUUUACAUAAUUUAAUUUAUACUUAUUAUUCUUAUUAACUAUUAUUACUUAGCUAUGCCUCUACGUAUGACAUUUUUCGAUUUAUUGGUUAAUAAGUAUAAGAAAAAGAAGCGAAAAACAAGUCCCCUAGGUAUUUUUUUAAAUGUUCCUAACACUUUUUUAAUAACAAAAUUUUUUUACACUUAAAAUACGUGAGUGACCCGUUUUUAAUAUAUUUAAUAUGUUCCUAAUACUUAUUAGGAACUAUAGGGGGCAGCACAGGAGCCGUCGCUAUAAAAAAAUAAAAAUAAUAACAAACAAAAAGUUCACCCUAGGUGGGAUGCGAACCCGGGGUCACAAUGCGUGUACACUUUAUGAAACCAUGCAUAAGGUCCAUCGAUGGAUAGUUAAGAGUAUUGCUGUUUGUACCUAAGCCGGUUUUCUGAAAGGAAAAACUCAGCGCAAAAAGUAAAAAAAAAAACGAAAAAGUUCACCGAUGGCGGGAAUAGAACCCAAGUCUCAAGCGAACACUUUGUCCUAAGUCAAACAUACCUAAGCUGCUUGCUAGAUUCAGACCAGACAUGCAAGUGUUAUAUUUUAAAUGUCCAACAGCUAUGAAAUUAUGAUUUUAAAAUAACACUUUGCAAGUCUUUGCUUUGAAAAACACUGCAGCGUUACCUUGGUCUUACUCUGCCACCCUAGUUAGUAAGCAUGCUAAAAGCAGUUUUUCGGAAUUAUUUGUCGAUUAAUGUCUAUAAGGAAAAAUUACGAAUUAUAAUAAUGUAAAAAAAAACCGCCCAAGUGCAUGUUAGUAUCGUGCACGAAGGGACUCCGUUACUCAAAAAAGGGAAAAAAUGACGUUUGUUGUAUGGGAGCCCCAUUUAAAUAUUUAUUAUAAUGUGUUUUUAGUAUUUGUUGUUAUAGCGGCAACAGAAAUACAUCAUCUGUGAAAAUUUCAACUGCCUAGCUAUCACGGUUCAUGAGGUACAGCCUGGUGACAGACAGACGAACAGACAGUCUCAGAUAACGGUUAAGUAUACUAUUCAGUUAUAUAUUACUGUGACAGAGACAUUGGGCGUUUCGUUCGCUACGGAGUGUGAACGAUUUGCAACUUGGCUAUGCACCCAGCUACCUCGCACAUCUCUGGUGGAAACGCAGCCUAAACCUGAGAUGUUAAGACAUCGCCUUGGUUACAUUUAUUUCGAAAAUACAAUUCGCGAUAUCUUUUUUUCGGUACCUACUAUUCUCAUUUAGACUUUUAGUUUCAUUUUUGUACUUCGUUAUUGAUACUUUUAGUUUUUUAAAUUUCUUGACAAUAAUAGGUAUUUAGACAUUUUAGACGUUAUUAUUUUAAGUCAUUUUUCCUUACGACAUUAGUCGCCUGAUUCGUUUUCCGUUCCACAUAAUAUCAGGACACCGUUAUGUCCGUUACCAAUAUACUUUUUAAGAGGAAAGACGACGAAAAAAUAUUAAGUAUUGAAUAUUAUCGGCAAUUCAAGGCAAAUAUUUUUUUUUAUUUUUAAAAUAUUGUUAAGAAUCUUCUGAUAUUUUGUAAACGAAAAAAAUAACGGAAAAAAAAUAACAAACAAAAAGUUCACCCUAGGGAUUCGAACCCGGGGUCACAAUGCGUGUACACUUUAUGAAACCAUGGUUUCAACCUUAUUACAAAAAGCAUAAGGUCCACAGUUGGAUAGUUAAGAGUAUUGCUGUUUGUACCUAAGCCGAUACUGCUACCGGCAGACAGGUAGAAUAACGUUUUUCGAUUUUGUGAUUUUGGCUGUAGUAGACCCUCAGAUAUCAUUCGCGCGCCAAAAGGCUAGGUGUAAAUUACAUUACGACUAUUACGAGUAAUAAAAGCCCGAUAUAAGUCGGUCAUAAAAAAAAUUGUUUAUUUCCGAAAAACAUUUCUUGGAUACAGUUAUAACAAAGCAUACUAAAGCAAUUCACAUGUACCUUGCUUAUUGUGUACCUACUUAACUGACGGAAGGGGCGCAGCUAUAAGUUAGUUAUCGACAGUGAUAUCAGCAUUUCACUUCUACUCUACGUACCUAUUGUUUACGUACCUAUUAAGCGACGGGCGAUACGUAUUAAUAUGUGAAACUAGACGAGUUUAUUUUCGAAUAGAGAUAGAAAUAAAUCUAAUUAUUUUACUACAAAUAGGUGUACCUAAGUAUAGUUUGUCAAAAGACAUACUGUAUAUUAACAUGAAAGGUAUUGAAAUCUGUAAUUAUAUAGUUUGGUAAACAAGUAAUUGUCAGUAAAAAACUGUUACGGAAAAGAGAGUACUGAGCUAUAACCGCGAAAAUCAAAGGUUCGCAAAUUGUGGGGAUCUUUCUCUUUUACUCCAAUGAAGGCAUAAUUCUUCAUUGCAGUAAAAGAGAAAGAUCCCCGCAAUUUGCAAAUUUCGGUUUUUGCGAUAGCCUCUCUGUUCUUUCUGCUUACCUAUUACAAUUCGCAAGUUGUUGUGUAAAAUGCUCCACUGACAAACGACUCUUCCCAAACUAUAGAUUACAGGUAAACCUACCUGGUAGGUAGGGUUUACCUAGUUUAUUUAAAGUUAGCAAAUAUCUACCUAAGUUAACAAUGUAACGAUAGGUAUAUGGUCUGGCAAACCAAAUUUGUUAGUAGAAAAGGCGGCAAAUUGAAAAAAAAAUGGCGGGAAUAUUCUAUCAUCUCCCAUAUGAAAUUUGAAUUUUGCACCUAAAUGCUUGGUUUGCCAGGCGAUAUUAGAUAUGUACUUACCUGUAUUUGGUUACAUGUGGCCACUACAAGUGUAUAAGUGGGUGAAUCAACCUGUUUUCCCACUCAUUGCCAUAGUUAUGGUUUUCUGAACUACAAAACAAUAGGUACUCAUUCCUUUCUUUUGGGUGCUAGUAUUAGCGUAACACUACAAAGACUCUUUCUGAAAGAUUAUUUGCCUAAAGUGUCAUUCUAUGGAACUUGCUAACUACUUAUGUAAACAAAAGUCGGAAGGAAGUUCAUCAUUCAGAGACAAUUUCAAUGUUUACGUAGUUGUAUGUUUACAUAGUUAGCAAGUUCCAUAGAAUGACACUUUAUGUUUGAUAUGAGACAGUCCCUGGACACAAUAGGGCUUAUUACACUUAUUCUGCCUUCAGACGGCUGACGAUUGCCCCGAUAUCGGGCAAGAAUCGUUUUCCGUUUCAUGUGGUUUCAUGAAAUAUUGUCACAUAGUUCACAAUAUUUCUUGGUGUAAAAAAUAGUUCAACUACAAAAGUAUCAACCAUGUUUGCCAAUUCGAGACAAAGUAUUUGUUACAAUUGAAAUAUUAAAAAUUGAAAUAUUGUUGACGAUGUCCUUAUAUUUCGUGAAACGCAAAACGAUCUUGCUCGGGCGCACCGUCGGCCACGAUCGCAUUAAGGCCCGACGGUGUGGAAGUGUAAUAAGCGCUUAUAAUGUACAUAACGUCAAGGAAUAGUUGACUCACCCAUUUUUUUAGUAGUUGUGACGUGGCUUCGCCAGUCUCCUUUGUGUCUUUUGAGAGUGUGUGGUACAUGUAUGGUAACGAAUAUUGUCAGCUAGAGGUCGGUUCUGUAACUUCCAACAACUUCUGUAAACAGGAUUGUCGUCCGUACAAACAUAGCUAACGUAAUGUUACAUUUUAAGUAAAAAUUAAGGAUGACUCACGCUAGACCGGGCGGGAUCCGAGCCGAGGCGUUCGACACGUCAUUUUCUAUGACGGCUGAUCGGUGUUCACGUGGUGCUUUCCAUAUAAAACGAAGCGCUGGUACUCCGGCUCGGUCUCAGCCCUGUCUCAUAGCGUGAGUCAUCCUUUAUGGUGAUCUCCUUAUUAGAAAUAUAAGGACUAAAUAUAUCCUGUCACAAGUGUAACAGGAUAAUUUCUGCUGAGAGGGACAGCUCUUGUUAGCAGAAAGUAUCCGGUAGCAGAAAAGGUAUAAUCGAGAUGAUUCCUCCGACGAUCUCACUCCUCACAUUUUUUUUAGACAGAAUAGCAUAAUAAAUAGCUAGUAUUUAUUUGUGACUAUAUCCUAGAGCCUCAGCGCCCGUUUUUGUACCCGUUUACUAUCUGUGAAUUAUGUAGAAUAUUGUAAAAUAUAGUUAGUAGGCAAUAUAAAUUGUGACUACCUGAUAGUUAUAUGUUUUUUUUUUAUAAUCAGGCAGACCACUAAGCUUAUACUGUUUAACUUAGGUAUUUUUAGACACUCGCGCGACUUGUAGGUACCUAUACAAACACCACCACCAGACCAGUACAAACGGCAAAUAUCAAUUUACGCUUUUCCUACUGACAUAUUGGUUUGCCACUUACAAUUAUAAUGUACCUACCUGAAAUAUGCUUACAGUCCCUUUUUUUAGCAUUAGAAAGAACUUCGCAGAAGUAAGCUUGUGGUCCAAAUCCGGCACUUUUAGCGGUAAUAAUUUGAAGUAAAUUAUAUGUAUUGACCAUGCUUCAUUAGAUAAUUCAAUAAUUAUUAACAAUUAAAGACCCUGAUAAAAACUGCACGCUUGCUUCUGUGGAGUUCUUUCUAAUGCUAAAAAAACGAACUAUAGGUAUCGAUUGCAAUGUAUUAUUAGUUACUGCAAUAAAGAAUUUGUAUUUCCAGUUCGAUUGUCAAAGGCUCCAUUAGUAAGUACCUAGGUGAUCAUAGGUCCUAGAUCCGGAUCAUCCGGGGGCUUACGAGAACUUGCUUACUCGUCGAGAUAUGACGAGUAUAUUGUAUUUUAAAUUGUUAAAAGAUUUUUAUAGUACUUUUUGUUGUGUUGCUGUAACUUUGUUAGUGGAUUUGUUUAAAAUUACUGUUAAAUGUUAUAAAAUUUGGUAAAUAAAGUAAUUUAACCAUUUUAAAA
Molecule: long non-coding RNA, 5748 nt
Organism: Cydia fagiglandana
Lineage: Eukaryota; Metazoa; Arthropoda; Insecta; Lepidoptera; Tortricidae
Exons: 4
Source: RefSeq, a predicted model, not a curated record